CGGUAUUUCUAUGAUAUAAAGCUUUGGGUGUGUUUUCAAAUAACUCAAGACACAAGAGGGGGUAAAGUAUCGUAAGCUAACGGAAAAUUGAGUUAUUUGGGGUCUCCUUCCCACUCUAGAUCUCCCCUAAAAGCAUGCAAAACAAAAUCGGAACUUAACUAAAAAGAGAGGUUUUAUUGUGAAGGCUGUGCUCUGCCUUUCAGAGAAGAGGAGGAGGUCAGACUUGGCUCAGUAAGAUUUCCAGUAGAAAGUUAGCAGAGAAGAGAAGAGAAUCCCGUUUUUUUCCGGGGUUGGUUGGCAGCACUGGUCUCAGUUUUAUUGGGAAAAGGAAAAAAAAUGUUGGCUUGUCCUUGGGUGUUCCCGUUGAUGAGUGACAAAUGAAAUGGGGCAGGUAAGGGGGAAACGAAACAGACAUAUCAGGUAGACUUAAUAAGCCGGCCGACUUGCGAACGCCGCCGCUUCAACAGUGUUCUCCUAAAGUGAAACGUUAACGUGAGGACAGCCACAAAUCUCUGGGGGAGAGGACCACUUAACAGAGUUUCCACAUGAGAAAAAGGGUUCAACAAGCACUUUUAAAAUCAAAGUCCCAUUAGUCAAAAAGGUACACUUACAUAAAGCAAAUAUGUACGCCUCUUUUUAUACAAGUCGUUAUAAGCAGGAGAAAACAGCGGUAGGAGAGAAGACCAUAUAAAUUCAAAGCAUUGCCUCCUUAUUUACAAAUUCACCAUGUAGGCUUUCUCAGUGCUUUUAUAAAAAUACUAUUCACAUUUGUUGUUGUUGAAGUGUGUUAGAUAAGAUCUGGAGGGAAACCCCAAAGAUUCUGUACAUUUAUACUGAUUCCAUAAUUUAAAACACAAGAAAUGUAUGAAUGACUUCCGUUUAUGUGAGCAAUGAAUUGUGCAAUUCAACUAAACAACUGAAAAGUUGCGGCUAGCGUGACAAACGUGUUAAAUAUUUGCAGGAACAAACACGAUAGUGGUGAAAAAAAAUCAUACAAGUUCAAGUCUUUUUUUUCCUUGAAGAAACACAUCCUUGAUAAUAUGGAGAAAAAAACUUGGUUACAUAAGGUACUAUACAUUAAAAAAAGACUUCAGUAAUAAGAGCUCCCAGUUUGUGCUACUGAAUUCAGUAAAAAAAAUCCGCCGACUUCCUCCCGCGCUGUCCACUUCCCGGACAGACGUUUGAAUAUACUGUUUUCAAUGAAGUGAUAAAAAGAUGGAGGGCAGUUGGACACUCACGUCGGGUACCAUGCAAGGUGAAAGUGUACUAUACAUUAGACUCUUAUCGCACCCAGUAUGGUAGGUAUGAAAUAUCAAAGGGUUCACUUCAGAACAACAUGGCUACAUGCCUCUGCACCUUGGCGUGGACGAAAAUAACACGAAGAGUGAUCGGUCGUAACGCAUGAUGUCACGGUUUAACUGCUGUCGACCUUAUUCACAUGGCAGCCACUUUCCUUUGACAUAAACAGCUGAAAUUUUAUUUAAAGGGACAGUUGUUUUUUAUUUUUUCGGAGUAGGGUUGUAUUAUAUAAGGGUAAAGAUUCAAUCGGAAAAUGGGCGAUGGGCCGUCCAUCAAAAAUAUCAAAAAAAUCUUAGUUAAUAUACUUUUAACCAGAUUGAAAAAGGGAACUAUUAUUACCUUUAAUGCCAGACUUCAGUGAUCUAUGUUGCUAAUUGUAUCAGCAUCUAGCUAGCUAAAAAUACUUAUUGUUAAAAAAAAAACUUAAUAAAUAAACAAAUGUAUAGAGAAUAGACAGUAAAAGGGUGGAUACUGUAGCUGAAUUCUCUUGUGAGCUUUUUCUGAUGGUAGCUAAUAGGUUGUUCGCUUUGGUGGUAUUAUUUUAGCCAUUAACAACAUUAUGUAAACCGCGUAUGUGUAAUCUCAAUGACUAUCCAUCGGCUUACAAAGCAGAGUUUGAGCAAUGUCUGCCUGCACAUUGGAAAUGCUGGCUCAUCCAAACUUUUGGUCGAUUUUGCAAGAGGCAAAGAGACGGGCCUUUCGCCUCCUCGUUAAAAGCAAAAAUGCGCCGUUCUAUCAGUCAAGGUAACCAACUUUUCCAAAACUAAUAAUUUAUAUCAAGAAAUUUAUAUUUGUACCAAACCAUACUCUUUCGUUGUAAAAAUUGUCAUUUUAAGAUGGAUGUUAGUGGAGUUUUCUAAGUUUUUGGGGCCACCCUCUAGUGGACACUCAAGGUACUACAGUUUGAAGCACUUUUCACUCUCUGUUGUUUUUCCUGUUGCUUUUUCUUUAUUUUAAACCCGAUAAAGCCAUCAAAUCCCUAAAGCCAUCAGUUUUAUUAAAUAAAAUAUAUAACUGUAGUUUAGGCCCCCAUCUUUAGCGUAAUGUCAAGGAAAAGUGGCUGUUAUCUGGAUAUGGCGUCUAUUUGGCAGAGAAUGGUCAUGGCUGUGACAGAUAGCAGCAGGUUACAAAGGCAGACGCCAAGGCAAAAUAUCUUUGAAACAAGAAAGGAGGAAUUCAACUACUUUUUGGCGCUUCUGUAGAAUUCAGCAAGGCUUUUGGGUGACAGGAACAACCCUGGAUGAACUCACUGAGACUGGGUUGUCUUGCGAGGAAAAUCAAAGAUAGAUAGAUCCAGUUUUCUGAAGAGUAAAUGAAGCUGUUUGUCCUCAACAGUGUUUCAGCUUUAUCUUUUCUUGAUUCAUCAUAUAUUUUGCCCAGAUCUG
RNAcentral lists this long non-coding RNA (2684 nucleotides) under Xyrichtys novacula (pearly razorfish). Lineage: Eukaryota; Metazoa; Chordata; Actinopteri; Labriformes; Labridae. The record is from RNAcentral.